This 337-nucleotide unclassified non-coding RNA is filed under the name soil metagenome. Its description in RNAcentral is "partial contains 5.8S ribosomal RNA, internal transcribed spacer 2, and large subunit ribosomal RNA". The stretch from base 1 to 120 matches the Rfam family "5.8S ribosomal RNA", at positions 35 to 154 of the family's 154-position model. The record is from RNAcentral.
GAUGAAGAACGUAGCGAAAUGCGAUAAGUAAUUUGAAUUGCAGAAUUCAGUGAAUCAUCGAAUCUUUGAACGCACAUUGCGCCCCUUGGUAUUCCGGGGGGCAUGCCUGUUCGAGCGUCAUUUCAACCCUCAAGCUCUGCUUGGUAUUGGGCUCCGUCCUCCUCGGACGCGCCUCAAAGACCUCGGCGGUGGCGUCUUGCCUCAAGCGUAGUAGAAACACCUCGCUUUGGAGUGCAUGGCGUCGCCCGCCGGACGAAACCUUUUGUAUUUUCUCAAAGGUUGACCUCGGAUCAGGUAGGGAUACCCGCUGAACUUAAGCAUAUCAAUAAGCGGAGGA